This 253-nucleotide ribosomal RNA is filed under the name uncultured bacterium. RNAcentral describes it as "partial 16S ribosomal RNA". It matches the Rfam family "Bacterial small subunit ribosomal RNA", at positions 524 to 776 of the family's 1533-position model. The record is from RNAcentral.
GACGGAGGAUGCAAGCGUUAUCCGGAAUGAUUGGGCGUAAAGCGUCCGCAGGUGGCCGUUCAAGUCUGCUGUCAAAGACCGGGGCUUAACUUCGGAAAGGCAGUGGAAACUGAACAGCUAGAGUAUGGUAGGGGCAGAGGGAAUUCCUGGUGUAGCGGUGAAAUGCGUAGAGAUGUGGAGGAACACCGAGGGCGAAGGCAGCCCCCUGGGUCAAAACUGACGCUCAGGCACGAGAGCGUGGGGAGCAAACAGG